UACGAGAGGUCCAAACGUUAUUCGGAAUUACUGGGCUUACAGAGUUCGUAGGCGGCUCUACAAGUGAGGUGUGAAAGCCCUCAGCUCAACCGAGGAACUGCGCUUCAAACUGUAGAACUAGAGGGAGAUAGAGGUGAGCAGAACUGAUGGUGGAGCGGUGAAAUGCGUUGAUAUCAUCAGGAAUACCGGAGGCGAAGGCGGCUCACUGGGUCUCUUCUGACGCUGAGGAACGAAAGCUAGGGGAGCAAACGGG
Molecule: ribosomal RNA, 253 nt
Filed under: uncultured bacterium
Lineage: Bacteria
Description: partial 16S ribosomal RNA
Rfam family: Bacterial small subunit ribosomal RNA
Source: RNAcentral